RNAcentral lists this ribosomal RNA (253 nucleotides) under uncultured bacterium. Its description in RNAcentral is "partial 16S ribosomal RNA". It matches the Rfam family "Bacterial small subunit ribosomal RNA", at positions 524 to 776 of the family's 1533-position model. The record is from RNAcentral.
UACAGAGGUCUCAAGCGUUGUUCGGAUUCAUUGGGCGUAAAGGGUGCGUAGGUGGCGCCGUAAGUCAGGUGUGAAAUCUCGGGGCUCAACCCCGAAACUGCACUUGAUACUGCGGUGCUCGAGUACUGGAGAGGAGAUUGGAAUUUACGGUGUAGCAGUGAAAUGCGUAGAUAUCGUAAGGAAGACCAGUGGCGAAGGCGACUGACUGGACAAGUAUUGACGCUGAGGUACGAAAGCGUGGGGAGCAAACAGG